AAUCAACGCUGGCGGCGUGCCUCAGACAUGCAAGUCGAACGAUUAAAGCUCUCUUCGGAGAGUGCAUAGAGUGGCGCACGGGUGAGUAACACGUAAGUAAUCUACCUUCGAGUGGGGAAUAACGUCCGGAAACGGACGCUAAUACCGCAUAAUGCAGCGGCAUCGUAAGAUGACAGUUGUUAAAGAUUUAUCGCUUGAAGAGGAGCUUGCGGCAGAUUAGCUAGUUGGUAAGGUAAUGGCUUACCAAGGCUACGAUCUGUAACCGGUCUUAGAGGACGGUCGGUCACACUGACACUGAAUAACGGGUCAGACUCCUACGGGAGGCAGCAGUCGGGAAUUUUGGGCAAUGGGCGAAAGCCUGACCCAGCAACGCCGCGUGAAGGAUGAAGUAUUUCGGUAUGUAAACUUCGAAAGAAUGGGAAGAAUAAAUGACGGUACCAUUUAUAAGGUCCGGCUAACUACGUG
This 465-nucleotide ribosomal RNA is filed under the name uncultured bacterium. RNAcentral describes it as "bacterial SSU rRNA". It matches the Rfam family "Bacterial small subunit ribosomal RNA", at positions 32 to 507 of the family's 1533-position model. The record is from RNAcentral.